UACGUAGGUGGCAAGCGUUAUCCGGAUUUAUUGGGCGUAAAGGGAACGCAGGCGGUCUUUUAAGUCUGAUGUGAAAGCCUUCGGCUUAACCGGAGUAGUGCAUUGGAAACCGGGAGACUUGAGUGCAGAAGAGGAGAGUGGAACUCCUAGUGUAGCGGUGAAAUGCGUAGAUAUUAGGAGGAACACCAGUGGCGAAGGCGGUCUGCUGGACGGCAACUGACGCUGAGGCGCGAAAGCGUGGGGAGCAAACAGG
This 253-nucleotide ribosomal RNA is filed under the name uncultured bacterium. RNAcentral's name for it is "partial 16S ribosomal RNA". It matches the Rfam family "Bacterial small subunit ribosomal RNA", at positions 524 to 776 of the family's 1533-position model. The record is from RNAcentral.